RNAcentral lists this transfer RNA (93 nucleotides) under Actinoplanes digitatis. RNAcentral describes it as "Amorphoplanes digitatis tRNA-Ser". The record is from RNAcentral. Lineage: Bacteria; Bacillati; Actinomycetota; Actinomycetes; Micromonosporales; Micromonosporaceae.
GGAGGAGCCAGCCGACAGUUGGCGCCGGCCACCGUCUCGAAAACGGUUGGGGCUUCGCCGCCCGUGGCGGUUCGACCCCGCCCUCCUCCGCCA